RNAcentral lists this ribosomal RNA (465 nucleotides) under Vreelandella stevensii. RNAcentral's name for it is "partial 16S ribosomal RNA". It matches the Rfam family "Bacterial small subunit ribosomal RNA", at positions 338 to 795 of the family's 1533-position model. The record is from RNAcentral. Lineage: Bacteria; Pseudomonadati; Pseudomonadota; Gammaproteobacteria; Oceanospirillales; Halomonadaceae.
CCUACGGGUGGCUGCAGUGGGGAAUAUUGGACAAUGGGGGGAACCCUGAUCCAACCAUGCCGCGUGUGUGAAGAAGGCCCUCGGGUUGUAAAGCACUUUCAGUGAGGAAGAACGCCUGGUGGUUAAUACCCAUCAGGAAAGACAUCACUCACAGAAGAAGCACCGGCUAACUCCGUGCCAGCAGCCGCGGUAAUACGGAGGGUGCGAGCGUUAAUCGGAAUUACUGGGCGUAAAGCGCGCGUAGGUGGCUUGAUAAGCCGGUUGUGAAAGCCCCGGGCUCAACCUGGGAACGGCAUCCGGAACUGUCAAGCUAGAGUGCAGGAGAGGAAGGUAGAAUUCCCGGUGUAGCGGUGAAAUGCGUAGAGAUCGGGAGGAAUACCAGUGGCGAAGGCGGCCUUCUGGACUGACACUGACACUGAGGUGCGAAAGCGUGGGUAGCAAACAGGAUUAGAUACCCUGGUAGUC